Molecule: microRNA precursor, 110 nt
Filed under: Setaria italica (foxtail millet)
Lineage: Eukaryota; Viridiplantae; Streptophyta; Magnoliopsida; Poales; Poaceae
Also listed under: 1 other name
Description: pre miRNA mir-160
Rfam family: mir-160 microRNA precursor family
About the family: The hairpin precursors (represented here) are predicted based on base pairing and cross-species conservation -- their extents are not known.
Source: Rfam by way of RNAcentral
AUAUGCCUGGCUCCCUGUAUGCCACUCGCACGGCUACCACCUGGACGAUCAUAUCGGAGCCCUGAUCGAUCGGUGGCCGAUGCGGCUGGCGUGCGAGGUGCCAAGCAUGG